UGGGAGACCAACAUAUACAAAUUUCACCCAGAUCGGUUCAGGGGUUCUUAAAAAGUAUGGAAGUCAUAUUUUACGGACCACACACGAGGCUCCUGCCCAAAACAGUUACACAAAUUCAGCGUGUGCUGUCGGUCAAUUCAGAGAAAGGUAAAAAAAAACGAACAAAGUCCCGAAUGGAUCCUCCUGGCUCGUAGGAGCGAUUGCUCCCCUUGUCCAUUCGCACAAAACUACCGAAUGACCAAGUCCUGCUGACUCCCCUUGUGCGAAUAAGAUGGCCGACGUUUUCUAUUCCACGAGGCGUUCGGCUAUACGAACAGCGGCCGCCCAGGGAGUACUUAAUAGAUGGUUCCUUUGUAGUUAAUGAGCCAGGAGGGUGGUCGGUGUUCCGAACCAAUAUAUUCAAUACACAUGCAAUACUUGUGGGAAAAAGACCGAACAAAGAAGAAAAUGUUAAACAAAAGUCUAUUUUCUUCACAAAGCUAUACAGAGACAAUAUAGGCUAGGGACUGCUUUGUCUCUGUGUGUUUCCUCUGCCUGACUUUCUCAGACUAAGCAGAGCUACAGUGGUCACCAGUCACGGAAUUGGCUCUGUCUGUGAAGGAUCCCACGGUUUUAUGGGAUUCUCAAUAGACCUCACCGCUGUACUCUAGAAUGUGCUCAAGUGUAUUGCAGUGAGAGUUGAAAAGGACGCACCGGAACAAGAAGGCCACGCCCACGAGGAACAGGUUCAGAUAAGUAAAUCUCCCUCGCUGACCAUCGGACCCCCAAUUUAUCAAAGUCCCCAGACGGCGACAGUGCUGCUUUAAUUUGCAGUACUCCUGCAUUUUAUUUACCUCCAUAUAGGUUAAUAUUCCCCCAUUCCCUUACUUGGGCUUCCGGGAUCCCUUAAUAAUCUCACUCACUCAUGUCUCCUGGUACAGAUUCACGUCAUUCACCCAUUGGGCAGACUAGAUGGGCCGAAUGGUUCUUAUCUGCCGUCACAUUCUAUAAGUUUUUUUCUUUCUCUUCCAUCUCUGAUUUUCACCUGCUCCCGAGCUUUCUCUUCCCAUCCUCUACCCCCGGUGCCGAGCUUUCUCUUCCCAUCCUCUACCCCCGGUGCCGAGCUUUCUCUUCCCAUCCUCUACCCCCUCUGCCGAGCUUUCUCUUCCCUUCCUCUACCCCAGCUGCCGAGCUUUCUCUUCCCAUCCUCCACCCCCGCUGC
This is a non-coding RNA of Pelobates cultripes (western spadefoot toad), 1201 nucleotides long. Lineage: Eukaryota; Metazoa; Chordata; Amphibia; Anura; Pelobatidae. The record is from the annotation of a GenBank genome assembly.